AGAUACAUUCAGGCCUUUGCAUCAUUUAAUGGUGUGAAGAGAAAGGAUAUCCAAAGUGAAAGUGGGUAUCAUGACAAUUGUAGAAUAGUGAUAUUUAACAAGUAAUCGAUGAGAAUAUCUGA
RNAcentral lists this ribosomal RNA (122 nucleotides) under Entamoeba hartmanni. RNAcentral describes it as "partial small subunit ribosomal RNA". The record is from RNAcentral. Lineage: Eukaryota; Evosea; Mastigamoebida; Endamoebidae.